This 464-nucleotide ribosomal RNA is filed under the name uncultured bacterium. RNAcentral's name for it is "partial 16S ribosomal RNA". It matches the Rfam family "Bacterial small subunit ribosomal RNA", at positions 28 to 506 of the family's 1533-position model. The record is from RNAcentral.
GACGAACGCUGGCGGCGUGCUUAACACAUGCAAGUCGAACGGAAAGGCCCCUUUGGGGGUACUCGAGUGGCGAACGGGUGAGUAACACGUGAGUAACCUGCCCUUGACUUCGGGAUAACUUCAGGAAACUGGGGCUAAUACCGGAUAGGAAUCCUUGCUGCAUGGUGGGGGUUGGAAAGCUUCGGCGGUUUUGGAUGGACUCGCGGCUUAUCAGCUUGUUGGUGGGGUAGUGGCUUACCAAGGCUUUGACGGGUAGCCGGCCUGAGAGGGCGACCGGCCACAUUGGGACUGAGAUACGGCCCAGACUCCUACGGGAGGCAGCAGUGGGGAAUAUUGCACAAUGGGCGGAAGCCUGAUGCAGCACCGCCGCGUGCGGGAUGACGGCCUUCGGGUUGUAAACCGCUUUCAGCAGGGGCGAAGCUUGUGGUGACGGUACCUGCAGAAGAAGCACCGGCUAACUACGU